RNAcentral lists this ribosomal RNA (604 nucleotides) under uncultured bacterium. RNAcentral describes it as "bacterial SSU rRNA". The stretch from base 1 to 519 matches the Rfam family "Bacterial small subunit ribosomal RNA", at positions 338 to 873 of the family's 1533-position model. The record is from RNAcentral.
CCUACGGGAGGCAGCAGUUAGGAAUAUUGGACAAUGGGGGCAACCCUGAUCCAGCCAUGCCGCGUGUGUGAAGAAGGCCUUAGGGUUGUAAAGCACUUUCAGCUGUGAAGAUAAUGACAGUAGCAGAAGAAGAAGCUCCGGCUAAAUUCGUGCCAGCAGCCGCGGUAAUACGAAUGGAGCGAGCGUUGUUCGGAAUCACUGGGCGUAAAGGGUGCGCAGGCGGUCAUGAAAGUUAGAAGUGAAAUCCCAGGGCUUAACCCUGGAAUGGCUUUUAAAACUCCAUGACUAGAGUACUGGAGAGGUUGGCGGAAUUCCGAGUGUAGAGGUGAAAUUCGCAGAUAUUCGGAGGAACACCAAUGGCGUAGGCAGCCAACUGGACAGUAACUGACGCUCAUGCACGAAAGCGUGGGGAUCAAACAGGAUUAGAUACCCUGGUAGUCCACGCCCUAAACGAUGUGUGCUAGUUGUCGGUUCGUUAGUACGUACGGUGACGCAGCUACGUACUUAGUACACACCGCCGUGGGAGGUACGGUCGCGAGAGUAAACUAACUAAUAGUUAGUUAGUAGCGUUGAGCGNGCCGACGGACGACGACGAGGGAGGAGG